ACGCCGCGCCCCGGGCCCCUUAUGCCGGAGUGGGAUGGGGGAGGCCACGCGUGCCCUUCCACCUGCCCCAGCUACUUACGACUGACCACGCCGCGUUCCCGGGUGUGGCGACUCCACCAUUGGCACCCUCGACCCCGGAGCGGAAGUCUGACAUCAGAGAUUAAGCUGGCUGUGCCCUGGGGACACAUCGCUGCCAAACUCUGGGGCUCCCAGCAGGGCCCCCCGGUUCUUUGCCUGCACGGCUGGCUGGACAAUGCCAACUCCUUUGACAGACUCAUCCCUCUUCUCCCAAAAGACUUUCAUUACGUUGCCAUGGAUUUGGGGGGACAUGGGCUCUCAUCGCAUUACAGCCCAGGUCUCCCGUAUUACCAGCAAAACUUUGUGAUUGAGGUCCAGAGAGUUGUAGCAGCUUUGAAAUGGAAUCGUUUUUCCAUCAUGGGCCACAGUUUUGGUGGUAUGGUGGGCGGAAUGUAUUCCUGUACCUUCCCCGAGAUGGUGGAUAAACUUAUCUUGCUGGACACGUUGCCAUUUGCGCUGGACUAUAAAGAGCUGGCCCCUUUGUCUGCAGCCCGGAGUCCUGCCCACCCAGCAGAACCUGCAACCCCCCAGGAAUCGGAGAACUUGCUGACCUAUAAGCGGAGAAUGAUAGAGCACGUGCUACGGAUAGAGGCCUCCCAGAAGCCCCAGCGAGUGCUCAGCCCGGCGGAGAUGCUGCAGGGGUUCCUGAAGAACAACAGUCACGUGGGUGAGGAAUGUGCACAGCUCCUCCUGCAGAGAGGAACCACCCAGGUGGCCACAGGUCUGGUGCUGAGCAGAGACCGGAGGAUCUCUUUGCCAGAGCACAGCAUCGAUUUCAUCAGCAGGGACCUGCUUGUGCAUUUCAUGAGGAAGCUGCAGGCCCACGUCCUGCUCAUCAAGGGUCUGUGAGGCAGGGGCCAGCAGGCCUGACAGUGGGACGCUCGCUCUACCAAAUUCUCCAGCCACACCAGACCCCUUACGGCCCCAGAUCCGGGCUGCUCACCUGCCUUCCUCCCCACUCCCGGCUGGAAGCAGUCCCACAGUGAACGUCCUCCCGUGUGGCUUGGAUGCCGCUUUCUGCUCUGCUGCGGCCAGCCUAGACUGUGGCAAGCCCGAGGCAGGAACCCCGACUUCUGGGGACACGUGUGUCUCUGGUGCGGAGCACGGGGGUUUAGGAGGCAAAGCCACACCACAGGGAAAUACGCCGCACGUCCUCACUAGGACGGCCAGACUAAAAGAUAACCGGUGUCGGCAAGGAUGUGAGACACCAGGACCCUCGUGCUGGGGGGCUGUAACACGGAGCAGCCACUUGGGAAGCAGUCUGAUGGCUCGGAGCAGUGUUGUUCACAACGGCCCAGAGGUAGAGACGUCUGUCAGCCGGCGAGCAGAUGAGCCAAAGCAAUGCAAGGGUUUUAUAACGUGAGAAGAGAGAACGACGCUGACAAGGAGGUCCUAAAUUUGGUGAAGGACAUACUGAAAUCUGUCCCAAAGGAGGUAGGU
RNA transcript from Leopardus geoffroyi (Geoffroy's cat), 1518 nucleotides. It is a transcript of the gene named serine hydrolase like 2, with no coding region annotated. The transcript has 12 exons. The record is from RefSeq and is a predicted model, not a curated record. Lineage: Eukaryota; Metazoa; Chordata; Mammalia; Carnivora; Felidae.